This 775-nucleotide ribosomal RNA is filed under the name uncultured Neocallimastigales. RNAcentral's name for it is "partial large subunit ribosomal RNA". It matches the Rfam family "Eukaryotic large subunit ribosomal RNA", at positions 23 to 634 of the family's 3401-position model. Lineage: Eukaryota; Fungi; Neocallimastigomycota; Neocallimastigomycetes; Neocallimastigales. The record is from RNAcentral.
AGAGAGAGACAUGCGCGCAUAUCAAUAAGCGGAGGAAAAGAAACUAACAAGGAUUCCCCUAGUAACGGCGAGUGAAGCGGGAAGAGCUCAAAUUUGAAAUCUUAAAGGGUUUCCCUUUACGAAUUGUAGUUUGAAGAAGUGUUUUCUGUUGAGGUUUUGGUAAAAGUUCUUUGGAAUAGGACAUCAUAGAGGGUGAGAAUCCCGUAUUUGACCUUUACUUUCAACUUUGUGAUACACUUUCAAAGAGUCGGAUUGUUUGAGAAUGCAGUCCAAAAUGGGUGGUAAAUUUCAUCUAAAGCUAAAUAUUGGCGAGAGACCGAUAGCGAACAAGUACCGUGAGGGAAAGAUGAAAAGAACUUUGAAAAGAGAGUUAAACAGUACGUGAAAUUGUCAAAAGGGAAGCGUUUGACACCAGUGUUGUUUUUCUGAAAAUCAAUUAAAGAACUGUUUAUGCUAAGUUGUUUAGACUUUAUCAGCUAUCUGUUUAGUUUUGAGCUUUUCUUUAAUGCACUUUUCAGUUAACAAGUCAACAUCAAUUUCUUUUGCUGUAAAAAAGCUUGAGGAAGGUGGCUUGAGAUUCGUCUUAAGUGUUUAUAGCCUCUUGCCUAUGCAGUCGGAGAGAUUGAGGUCUGCAGCGUAGAUCCUUCGGGGCUAAAUGCAUUUGUGCUAAGUUAUAGCAUUUUAUAGACAACUUGUUGACUAUGAUUUGUCUUGUAGCUUACUCGCUUAUGUUAUUUUACCUACGCUUAGGAUGUUGACGCAUGAGAUAUACGCA